GCACGAGGUUCUUCUUGGGCCUCGAAGUUUCCAGGCAUCCUGUCCCCUCCCCGGGGCACACGCCCAGCAUCACCCUGAGUUCUGACCACGCCCAGGCUGCCCAGAGUGCAUGGCCUCACCCCCAUGACUGCCCUGAAGCAGUGCCCGGAUUCUCGUCCCCAUCUCUCAGAUAAGGAGACAGAGGCUCAAGGAGCUGAAUGGGGUAUCAGCUCGACCAACAGCUCCUCCUCAUCCCCGCAGCCUGGAAACAGCAGUGUCCGGGUUGCUCUCUGGAGGCCAGAGCUCCAAGCCUCGGGCCGGUCUGGCUCGUCUCGGCCGCGUUCAGACGUCAGUCUGUGCAGCCACCUCUCUGGGGUCAAGUUCUUUAACAUCCGAUCCCGCAGAGAUGAUUAUAUCCGAUGACCGCGGAGACUAGUGAACGGCUGGAAUCCAGGUAGCCGGACCCAGGAGUGGCUGGGGGCCACGGCCAGCCCGAAGCAGGAGGGCGAGAGGCAGCCGGGGCGUGAGGCGCAGGAAGGUCCCUUCCUCCUGAGCCCCACUGGCCUUGCCCUUGGGCUUCCCUGCCUUGAGGCAGGGCCUGGAUAGGGGCAGGGAGUCCCACAGCAAGAGGGAGCAGGGCUACUGGAUCCCUGGGGGGCUCCUGCCCAAGUCCUCCCUCAUUUCCUGGAUUCCAGGAAGGCUCCGGGGUGGGGGCUGGGGGCAGUAGGCAAGCCCCGAACAGGGGUGUGCCCAUCCUGCGGCCCGGCCAGCCCUUCCGGUGCCGUGGCCAGCCCUACGCGCGGCCAGCCAGAGCCUCUGGGAGCCUCUGGGAGCUGCAGCCCUGGGCCGGAGGCCAGGAAGGCCCGAGGCUGGAAGAACAGAGAGGAGGCAAGGCCCAGGUCUGGCUGGGGAAGAACCGGGACCAAAGGCAGAAAAAAAUCAGGACAGGUCCUUACCACCUACAGCUCAUUGACAAGUCCUUGAAGCAGGCCGAGUGACAUUCCUCCAGGAACUCAGCUGCCUCGAUGCUGAUACUUUCUAAGGACAAAAGGGAACAUUAGCCCAACCCCCAGGACCCUCCACUCCGGCCCUGACCCCGUGCCUACCUUUCAGCCCUUCCCGGUGGGCGAGCUGUCAACUCACCAGAGUCCAGAGGUCCCCCCAGCUGCCAAGUCUGGGGUGCAGGGGCGCGGUGAGCUAAGAGGGUACAGAGGGGGGACCCCUGCGAGUAAAUCCCUGGGGAGAGCUAGCACCCUGCCUCCCAAGUGGGCCUCUCUGGGUCCGCCGCCCUGCCAGCCAGCAGCGCCCGAAUGCGGAGCCACUACCAGGGCAGGAGGUCAUGCUGCUGCUGGGGCUCCCGGCCUCAGCGAGGAUGAGGCAGAGACAGCCUCUCACGCAGGGCCCCAGCUUCUGGUGGAUCUGCCCAGAGCUGGCACACCUCUGGGCACUCUGCGAAGCCCCCGACCCCAUGCGGGGGCAAUGCAGGGAGGGGUGUGAGGACACAGCGCAGACCACCAGGCCGCUUCCAAGCAAGUCUUCUACAAGGUACUUCACAGCCCUCAAAAGGCAGGUCCCUCAGUGACCUCCUGGGGAGCCCCACAGGCCAAGAGUCCAGUCCUGGUUCACGGACCACCCCCCCCUUUAGUGCAGCUCUAUCAGCUAAUGGCAGCUAAAGUGAUCUGACAUAAAAUAAUGUGUCAGAGAUAAUUGCUCCUGGGCUCAGCUCCCAAAUUCCAACCUGCAACCAAAGGCCAGACGUGCCCGUUAAUGAUUAAACCUCCGGAAUCGGUAGGGCUGGGGCAGAGCAGCAGGGAGGCUCCUGGCCAGGGAGAUUGGCCCUGCCCAACAGGAACCGGUUCCUGCCCCACGGGGGAGGGGAAACACUUCCCCACCGAUGAUAAACACCGUGUAAUCCCAGCAUCCAUGACAGCAGACAGCCAUCCCGCUGUCUGUCACAGAGCAGGUCAUGGUCAUGGCCCUGCUGGGGCCCACCUGAGGUCAGGAUGAAGCCCCAGGAGCACCUGGGUGGCUCAGUGG
Long non-coding RNA from Mustela erminea (ermine), 2016 nucleotides. RefSeq lists it as uncharacterized. The record is from RefSeq and is a predicted model, not a curated record. The transcript is spliced from 3 exons. Lineage: Eukaryota; Metazoa; Chordata; Mammalia; Carnivora; Mustelidae.